This 248-nucleotide ribosomal RNA is filed under the name uncultured bacterium. RNAcentral's name for it is "partial 16S ribosomal RNA". It matches the Rfam family "Bacterial small subunit ribosomal RNA", at positions 107 to 353 of the family's 1533-position model. The record is from RNAcentral.
UGAGUAACGCGUGGGUAACCUGCCUCAUACAGGGGGAUAACAGUUAGAAAUGACUGCUAAUACCGCAUAAGCGCACAGUGCUGCAUGGCACAGUGUGGAAAACUCCGGUGGUAUGAGAUGGACCCGCGUCUGAUUAGCUAGUUGGUGGGGUAACGGCCUACCAAGGCGACGAUCAGUAGCCGGCCUGAGAGGGUGAACGGCCACAUUGGGACUGAGACACGGCCCAAACUCCUACGGGAGGCAGCAUG